This 180-nucleotide ribosomal RNA is filed under the name uncultured beta proteobacterium. RNAcentral describes it as "partial 16S ribosomal RNA". Lineage: Bacteria; Pseudomonadati; Pseudomonadota; Betaproteobacteria. The record is from RNAcentral.
CAUAGCCGACAGGGCCCUCAUUCCUACGGGAGGCAGCAGUGGGGAAUUGUGGACAAUGGGGGGGAGCGUGAUCCAGCCAUGCCGCGGCGGGAAGAAGGCCUUCGGGUUUAAAGUGCUUUUUCAGGGGGGAGUCCUUUGGUUAUACCAGCACCCACGACGUACACAAGAGAACCGGGGGGC